Long non-coding RNA from Colius striatus (speckled mousebird), 1286 nucleotides. RefSeq lists it as uncharacterized. Lineage: Eukaryota; Metazoa; Chordata; Aves; Coliiformes; Coliidae. The record is from RefSeq and is a predicted model, not a curated record. The transcript has 3 exons.
CGAGGGCGUACAUACUCCACCCUCCGCAACAGCAGGCCCUCACCCUGUCCCGGCCGCGCGAAAACAACCUCCUCCCCGCCUCCCCAACGGUGCCUCGGCAGGGCGCGCGCCUGCGUGCGGGGCCAAAGGACAAUAGAAACCGGACCGCCUCGGAUGGGGGGACGAGGGAGAAGAGGACAGGGGUCAGAGUGCCCCGCUCAUUUGGCUCCACAACUCACCUUCUCGGCUGUCCGACGGCGGCCUCCACGCUACACUGCGCAGUUACGGAGCACAGUUCUGCCUGCCCGACAUCCCCCCCCACCCCCGGCCCGACUCCCUCCCCCGUGGGACACUCACUCGUUCUGCUGCGGAUCCUCGACCCUGCGCGGAGCAGCUGCCACGAGACCAGCCUGGAGGUGGCAAUGCAGGCUGGAGAGCGGCCCGGGCACCCGGGCGGGGCGGAGCGCAGCGGGGGGCCGAUCGCCGAAGGAGCAGGAACCGGCACAAGCAAAGGGCGGCCUCCCUCUGCACUACCCUGCCUCCCCUGGGCCGCGCGUCGGAGACGUUCGCAGGUCGCGACCGGCGUUCGUGUCGGUGUGAGAGACGGCGAGGAGAGGAGGUGCACCAACAGCUGAGAGGAUGUAAACAGAAGGUCACGUGACCCUGCCCCCGCGGGCGGCCAAACCCCCUCCGCAGCACGGGGUAGCUGGGGUGGGUGGUAAGGCGAGUUGCGCCGCGCCGUGAUUGGUCGUGCUUUGCUAGUCCAAGAGCCAAUGGGAAGCCGUCGUUGGCGUCGCUCGUCAGCGGUCGUCCAGUGGACAGGGGUAUCCACUUGGGAAGAUAAUUCUAUCAUCUUCUCUCAGAGUUGAAAAAAAUCUUUGGUAUUCAAAUCUAGCAGAAAAUUCUUAAGUGUAUGUGAUUCUCCAAGCCUGCUCUAUCUUCUGUCAUUCAUCUUCAAACCAGAGCUCCCAAGCCAGUCAAGAAUGGGAGCACAGCCUUCCAGUGAAUCAGCCAGUUCACCUAGUUUUGUGUCAUCCAUGGAGAGGGACCUGGGAUUUCUGGCAAACAGCAAACUAAACAUGAACCGGAAAUGUGUCUUCAUGGCCAAGAAGACCAAUGAUAUCCUAAGGUACAUUAAGAAAAGUGUGGCCAAAAGUCAAGGUAAGUUAUUCUCCCCAUUCUCCCCCUCUACCUUACCCUGGUAAGGCUACAUCUGGAGUACUGUGUCAGGUUUUGGGCUCCCCGGUUCAAGGGAGACAGAACUUCUGGAGAGAGUCCAGCACAGGGCUACCAAAAUGAUGAAGAGA